GACGAACGCUGGCGGCGUGCUUAACACAUGCAAGUCGAACGGAAAGGCCCUGCUUUUGUGGGGUGCUCGAGUGGCGAACGGGUGAGUAACACGUGAGUAACCUGCCCUUGACUUUGGGAUAACUUCAGGAAACUGGGGCUAAUACCGGAUAGGAGCUCCUGCUGCAUGGUGGGGGUUGGAAAGUUUCGGCGGUUGGGGAUGGACUCGCGGCUUAUCAGCUUGUUGGUGGGGUAGUGGCUUACCAAGGCUUUGACGGGUAGCCGGCCUGAGAGGGUGACCGGCCACAUUGGGACUGAGAUACGGCCCAGACUCCUACGGGAGACAGCAGUGGGGAAUAUUGCACAAUGGGCGGAAGCCUGAUGCAGCAACGCCGCGUGCGGGAUGACGGCCUUCGGGUUGUAAACCGCUUUCGCCUGAGACGAAGCGUGAGUGACGGUAAUGGGUAAAGAAGCACCGGCUAACUACGUG
Molecule: ribosomal RNA, 468 nt
Filed under: uncultured bacterium
Lineage: Bacteria
Description: partial 16S ribosomal RNA
Rfam family: Bacterial small subunit ribosomal RNA
Source: RNAcentral